UACGUAGGGCGCAAGCGUUGUCCGGAAUUAUUGGGCGUAAAGAGCUCGUAGGCGGCUUGUCACGUCGGAUGUGAAAGCCCGGGGCUUAACCCCGGGUCUGCAUUCGAUACGGGCAGGCUAGAGUGUGGUAGGGGAGAUCGGAAUUCCUGGUGUAGCGGUGAAAUGCGCAGAUAUCAGGAGGAACACCGGUGGCGAAGGCGGCUCUCUGGGACGGUACUGACGCUGAGACGCGAAAGCGUGGGGAGCGAACAGG
RNAcentral lists this ribosomal RNA (253 nucleotides) under uncultured bacterium. Its description in RNAcentral is "partial 16S ribosomal RNA". It matches the Rfam family "Bacterial small subunit ribosomal RNA", at positions 524 to 776 of the family's 1533-position model. The record is from RNAcentral.